Long non-coding RNA from Marmota monax (woodchuck), 2129 nucleotides. RefSeq lists it as uncharacterized. The transcript has 7 exons. The record is from RefSeq and is a predicted model, not a curated record. Lineage: Eukaryota; Metazoa; Chordata; Mammalia; Rodentia; Sciuridae.
UUCUUAAUGAGCACAGAAGAUCUGUUCCACGGUCCACUGAUGGAUCACAAAGAAACUAUGUGUUCAUUUGACCAAAAGCAAAAUCAAGUAGAAACUUCCAAGACAAUAGUCACAAUAGUACAAAUCAUAAUCAGAAGAAACUUAUGCUUGUUAUUUCAUUUUGUAUUUUCACUGAGAUUAGUUAUGCUACGUUGUGUUAAGGAAAAUCUUGUUGAUAAUUUGCGACAUAUUUUGAGCUCAUUAGGAAAAAAAAUUGUAAAUGUGCUAGACUAACCAUUACAACAUUUGUAAAAUCCAAAAUUAAAAUUUCCUUUACUGUUCUCUGAAUUCCUAAUUAUUGGGCCUGUGAAUUCAUGUAGAGAAAAUGAUUGAAGAAUCCUGCCAGGAUGCCUUAGGAGAGAAGAUAAUACUAUCUAAGGGUUCUUUAAAGCUGGGAGUAACAUAGAAAUGCUUUGCCCAUGCUAAAUAAUAAUUACACUAACAAUAAUAAACUUUCUUAUCAGAAAUUUAUUAGAUCUUCCAUCUCUAAAAAAUCUUGCAAAGGAGACUUUAUUCAGCUGAAAUGCUCUCUUGCAUGAUGUGCAAAUGAGGAUAAAAUAAAGCCUGAGAACGUGGUCAGGGAGAGUGAGAUGGAAUAAGCAGACCAAAAAAUAUUGAAGCAGAAUGUCAUGCAAGAACUGAAGUACAUCUGAUUCUUUCUUUUGAUGGCUUUGUGGAAACAAGCUACCAUGUUGUGAGCCCAGUGGUAAGGAACUGAGGGUAAUCUCUGGCCAACAGCUGGAAAAAAAUCAAGGCCCACAGUUACAGCCGUCCAGGAACCAAACUCCGCCAACAGCCAUCUGAGCAUGGAGCAGAUCUCCUUCCAGUCUGGCCUCCAGACAUAUUGAAUAGAUGGUGCUACAUAUGUAGAGGAAAAAAGGAAGAAGGACGAGAGUCUCUGGGAGUAAUGAAGGAGAGAAUUCCUUCAGGUGGAGAGAGGCAGGACUCCACUGCAGUGCUCCAGGAAAGAGAAGUGUACCAGGGGAGACAGAAGGCUUAGGUCCCAUCCUGAAGAUGGGGUUCAGCCACAGGACUCUGACCACCUGAAGACUCCCAUGGCUCAGGUGGAUUAGAGACAACACUGGUAGUGACCAAACCAUUGGUGUGCUGUUGAGACUUCUGCAUGUCAACAACCCAUGACAGGAGAGCUCUCCCAAUCUGGAUACCGUCCUCAGGCUGUGAGGUCUGUGUGGAGCCAGCCCAUGGAGAUGCUGAUGGGGAAUUGAGGCCUCUAGUUCUCUGGACUUGGUGUGGGGUGAGCUUUCUGGGACGUUGACAAGUCUGGACUGAAUCAAGAGAAUCAGCAUAAAUCUCAGCCGAUGCCUAAUUUUAGAGAUGUCUGAUCCUUGAAGGAGUCUUGCCACAGCCAGAUGGGGUGGGAGACAACAUUUGAGGGUGGAAACGCAGGAGGUGCCAAACUGAAGCUCCAAAGGUUAAACUCAUUUUUGUGGCUGAUAAAUCCUGAGCAAAAAUGAACUGGAUUGUGAGAAGAGUUAUGUAGUACAAGCCGGAGUCCCUGGGGAGGCUGCAGAAGGCUUCAAGGACCACAGUGUGUUGCGGGAGAAAAGGUGGUUAGAGAAAUUACCCUACAAUACGUAAGUGUGGACAAGGAUCAAAUAAGCAGAAGAAAAUAAGCCUGCUGGAGGAGUCACUCAUGCUGAUGAGCCGUAGUAGUUAAUGGCAGAAUUUCUCCAGCUGGUGCCACGUGGAUGGAAGAUAAUGGGGCAGCCUGGAAGCCCUUCCUGUUUCUCAGGGUUCUAGAGCUGCACGGAGCCCUGAGGUAGGCGUCAGCCACACGUGGCUGUUCAAAUUUAAAUUUCUCUUAAUUAAAAUUACAUAAAAUUAAAAAUUAAUGUCUCUGUCCCCCGGGCACAUUAUAAGUACUCAAUAGCCACAUGUGGCUGCCGGAUACCACACUGGACAGUGCAGAUUUGCGACAUUUAUGUCAUCAUGGAGAGUUCUAUUGGAUACCUCUGUUCUUGAGCGGGUGCGACUCAUCAAUCAGACUGCCAUUUUGAGAUUGUUCUUGAAAAGAGCUUAUAGACCAGCACAGGCUUAUCUAUUUGGUCAACACAAACUUCCCCUCUAUU